Molecule: ribosomal RNA, 579 nt
Filed under: uncultured bacterium
Lineage: Bacteria
Description: bacterial SSU rRNA
Rfam family: Bacterial small subunit ribosomal RNA
Source: RNAcentral
CCUACGGGAGGCAGCAGUAAGGAAUAUUGGUCAAUGGAGGCAACUCUGAACCAGCCAUGCCGCGUGCAGGAAGACUGCCCUAUGGGUUGUAAACUGCUUUUAUCCGGGAAUAAACCUGCUUACGUGUAAGUAGCUGAAUGUACCGGAAGAAUAAGGAUCGGCUAACUCCGUGCCAGCAGCCGCGGUAAUACGGAGGAUCCAAGCGUUAUCCGGAUUUAUUGGGUUUAAAGGGUGCGUAGGCGGCCUGUUAAGUCAGGGGUGAAAGACGGUAGCUAAACUAUCGCAGUGCCCUUGAUACUGAUGGGCUUGAAUGGACUAGAGGUAGGCGGAAUGAGACAAGUAGCGGUGAAAUGCAUAGAUAUGUCUCAGAACACCGAUUGCGAAGGCAGCUUACUAUGGUCUUAUUGACGCUGAGGCACGAAAGCGUGGGGAUCAAACAGGAUUAGAUACCCUGGUAGUCCACGCCCUAAACGAUGAACACUCGCUGUUGGCGAUACACAGUCAGCGGCUAAGCGAAAGCGUUAAAGUGUUCCACCUGGGGAGUACGCCGCAAGGGUUGAAACGUUAAGGAAUUGACGG